This 315-nucleotide ribosomal RNA is filed under the name uncultured Helotiales. RNAcentral describes it as "partial large subunit ribosomal RNA". It matches the Rfam family "Eukaryotic large subunit ribosomal RNA", at positions 40 to 350 of the family's 3401-position model. The record is from RNAcentral. Lineage: Eukaryota; Fungi; Ascomycota; Leotiomycetes; Helotiales.
AUAUCAAUAAGCGGAGGAAAAGAAACUAACAAGGAUUCCCCUAGUAACGGCGAGUGAGGCGGGAUGAGCUCAAAUUUAAAAUCUGGCUGGUUUACUAGUCCGAAUUGUAGUUUGUAGAAGAUGCUUUGGGUGUAGCUCCGGUCUAAGUUCCUUGGAACAGGACGUCAUAGAGGGUGAGAAUCCCGUAUGUGACUGGUUGCUUUCGCCCGUGUAAAGCUCUUUCGACGAGUCGAGUCGUUUGGGAAUGCAGCUCAAAAUGGGUGGUAUAUUUCAUCUAAAGCUAAAUAUUGGCCAGAGACCGAUAGCGCACAAGUA